Molecule: RNA transcript, 1060 nt
Organism: Heteronotia binoei (common prickly gecko)
Lineage: Eukaryota; Metazoa; Chordata; Lepidosauria; Squamata; Gekkonidae
Gene name: histone H2A-beta, sperm-like
Exons: 2
Source: RefSeq, a predicted model, not a curated record
UGUGCUCUGGAUCAGGGUGUUAUUAGAGCUUCCCUUUCCAUACAGUUUUGGCAACAUCUCACCUUCUGCUUCUUGCUAUUUAUAUUUGAUUUAGUAGAGUGACAUAAAGGUAAAUUGAAUAGGAUUAAAAGCAGGUUGGGAUAUAUUUUCUUUGAAACAUAUGAGAUUUAGCAAACAGUAGGCAGCUAACUUAUUAAAGCAGUUUCUCAGCAUCAACAAUUGCCAUGCAGAGAUAGUGGUUGUGACUGAAGCUUCCCAGUUGAUUUCAGGUGAAAGGAAGGCUCCUAAUGAGCUUGCUACAAUUGAGAAGUUUAAAAGAUGUUCCCAUGUUCUUGAAGGUGAGGCUGCUUUAGUUUAUGCCUUGUUUCAGCACAAUAGUUGUUUCCUCACAGAAAGCAAAUUAUCCACUGUUGAGACAGCAAAGAGCAGAAAGGAGGACUAAAAAAGAGAAACUGGAAUGUCUGGGCAUGGGAAAAAGACAGCAAAGUCAACAAUUGCAGCAAAGCCUGCCCUUCCUUCACAGAAAACCAGGUCAGAUAGAGCUGGUAUCCAGUUCCCAGUGGGCCGUGUUCAUCGGUUCUUGAGGCGGGGUCAGUAUGCUGAACGAAUAGGUGUGGGAGCUGCAGUCUACUUGUCGGCUGUGUUGGAAUAUCUGACUGCUGAGAUAUUGGAACUUGCAGGAAACGCUGCUUCUGAAAACAAGAAGCAACGAAUUGGGCCACGACAUCUUCAGCUGGCCGUGAGGACGGAUGAGGAACUCAGCCGAUUGUUUUCAGGUGUGACCAUUGCUGAGGGAGGGGUUCUUCCCAAUAUACUUCCCCAGCUGCUUCGCAAGAAGUCUGAGUUGCCUAAAGAAGUGGCAGAUGUUCAGUCACAGGAAUUCUAAAACCUUCUGUCUGUCGUAGCUGUCUUACACAAAUAGACACAAAUGAAACAAGUAACAGUUGCAAGAACCCUCAUUUUCAGUGAUGAAUACUCCACCAGCUUGUGUGUAAACUGUCUAAUCUUUAAUUCCCAAUAUGAUUUUUAAAGCUGAAAUAAAAUUAAAUUCUGUAACAUA